This 404-nucleotide ribosomal RNA is filed under the name Actinomycetes bacterium. RNAcentral's name for it is "Actinobacteria bacterium partial 16S ribosomal RNA". It matches the Rfam family "Bacterial small subunit ribosomal RNA", at positions 355 to 776 of the family's 1533-position model. The record is from RNAcentral. Lineage: Bacteria; Bacillati; Actinomycetota; Actinomycetes.
UGGGGAAUAUUGGACAAUGGGCGCAAGCCUGAUCCAGCCAUGCCGCGUGAGUGAUGAUGGCCCUAGGGUUGUAAAGCUCUUUCACCGGUGAAGAUAAUGACGGUAACCGGAGAAGAAGCCCCGGCUAACUUCGUGCCAGCAGCCGCGGUAAUACGAAGGGGGCUAGCGUUGUUCGGAUUUACUGGGCGUAAAGCGCACGUAGGCGGACUAUUAAGUCAGGGGUGAAAUCCCGGGGCUCAACCCCGGAACUGCCUUUGAUACUGGUAGUCUUGAGUUCGAGAGAGGUGAGUGGAAUUCCGAGUGUAGAGGUGAAAUUCGUAGAUAUUCGGAGGAACACCAGUGGCGAAGGCGGCUCACUGGCUCGAUACUGACGCUGAGGUGCGAAAGCGUGGGGAGCAAACAGG